AUCCACGGCCCUACCACCCCGAAUGUGCCCGCUCUCGUCUGAUCUCGGAAGUUAAGCAGGGUCGGGCCUGGUUAGUACUUGGAUGGGAGACCUCCGGGGUAUCCCGAGUGCUGUAGGCU
RNAcentral lists this ribosomal RNA (119 nucleotides) under Saimiri boliviensis boliviensis (Bolivian squirrel monkey). Lineage: Eukaryota; Metazoa; Chordata; Mammalia; Primates; Cebidae. The record is from RNAcentral.